Molecule: ribosomal RNA, 200 nt
Filed under: uncultured bacterium
Lineage: Bacteria
Description: partial 16S ribosomal RNA
Rfam family: Bacterial small subunit ribosomal RNA
Source: RNAcentral
AUUGAACGCUGGCGGCAUGCCUAACACAUGCAAGUCGGACGCCUCCGGGGGUUUCGGCCUCCGGCGGAGUGGCGGACGGGUGAGUAGCGCGUGGGAACCUGCCCCUUUGUGGGGGAUAACCGAGGGAAACUUCGGCUAAUACCGCAUGCGCCCCGGUGCUAAGCCGGGGGAAAGAUUUAUCGCAGAGGAGGGGCCCGCGU